GGGGGGGGGGGGGGGGGGGGGGGGUGGAGGCAGGUCGGGCGGAGAGAGAAGGAGCUUGCUCCUUGGACGGUGGCGGCGGACGGGUGAGGAACACGUGGGUAACCGACCUAUAAGACUGGGAUAACUUCGGGAAACCGGAGCUAAGACCUGAGAACAUUGUGAACCGCAUGGUUCUAAAUUGAAAUCUGGUUGUGCUAUCACUUAUAGAUUGACCCGCGACGUAUUAGCUAUUGGCUAAGUUCACUGCUUACACAGGCAACGAUACGUAGCAGACAUGAGCGGGUGAUCGGCCACACUGGAACUGAGACACGGUCCAGACUCCUACGGGAGGCAGCAGUAGGGAAUCUUCAGCAAUGGUCGAAAGCCUGACGGAGCAACGCCGCGUGAGUGAUGAAGGGUUUCGGCUCGUAAAACUCUGUUAUUAGGGAAGAACAAACGUGUAAGUAACUGUGCACGUCUUGACGGUACCUAAUCAGAAAGCCACGGCUAACUACGUG
This 497-nucleotide ribosomal RNA is filed under the name uncultured bacterium. RNAcentral describes it as "partial 16S ribosomal RNA". It matches the Rfam family "Bacterial small subunit ribosomal RNA", at positions 38 to 507 of the family's 1533-position model. The record is from RNAcentral.